RNAcentral lists this small nuclear RNA (149 nucleotides) under Cyprinodon variegatus (sheepshead minnow). RNAcentral's name for it is "U1 spliceosomal RNA (ENSCVAG00000005469.1)". It matches the Rfam family "U1 spliceosomal RNA". Rfam says of the family: U1 is a small nuclear RNA (snRNA) component of the spliceosome (involved in pre-mRNA splicing). Lineage: Eukaryota; Metazoa; Chordata; Actinopteri; Cyprinodontiformes; Cyprinodontidae. The record is from RNAcentral.
AUACUUACCUGACCGGGGGUGAUACCUUGAUCAUGAAGGAGGUUCACCCAGAGUGGAGUCCUUGUGUUUUCCAAGAGGCAACCUCUAAAAUAUGCUGCUUUAACAGUAGACUUUCUUAUUUUUGCCAGUCGGAUAUCUUCGUAUGGUCA